Molecule: ribosomal RNA, 253 nt
Filed under: uncultured bacterium
Lineage: Bacteria
Description: partial 16S ribosomal RNA
Rfam family: Bacterial small subunit ribosomal RNA
Source: RNAcentral
UACGUAGGGUGCGAGCGUUGUCCGGAAUUACUGGGCGUAAAGAGCUCGUAGGUGGUUUGUCGCGUUGUCCGUGAAAACUCACAGCUCAACUGUGGGCGUGCGGGCGAUACGGGCAGACUGGAGUACUGCAGGGGAGACUGGAAUUCCUGGUGUAGCGGUGGAAUGCGCAGAUAUCAGGAGGAACACCGGUGGCGAAGGCGGGUCUCUGGACCGACACUGACGCUGAGGCGCGAAAGCUAGGGGAGCAAACGGG